This 1479-nucleotide long non-coding RNA is filed under the name Anas platyrhynchos platyrhynchos (common mallard). RNAcentral describes it as "lncRNA (ENSAPLG00000023264.1)". The record is from RNAcentral. Lineage: Eukaryota; Metazoa; Chordata; Aves; Anseriformes; Anatidae.
AACCUCGACAUCCCCCUCCUUUUGGAGGAGCUGCGGGUUUUGCGGCAGCGCCAGCUCCGCCAGAUGCAGCUCACCCAAGAAAUUUGCCGCCACCUCCUCCUUUUGGGGGCGCCGGGCCCCCCGAAAACCCACCCCCCGCGCCCAAAAAAACCCCAAAACCCUCUCCCAAAACCCAUUUUCCCCUUUUUUCCCCCCAAAACGGAGCAGGCGGCGGUUUUUUUCGCCGCCCCCUACCGCUUGGCGCCGGCCCCGCGUGGCCGAACCCCCGAAUCCGCCCCGUUGCCGGGCGACCCCCCGGGACCCCCCGUGCGACCCCUAAAUAUUUUUGGGGUGAAUUCCGGGGUUUUUAGGCACGGCUGCGGGGGCGAGCGGCCCUACGGCUGCGGCGUUUGUGGCAACCGUUUCGCCACCCGGGGCAACCUCAAAGUUCACCUCCACCGGCACCGCCAAAAGAGCCCCCAAGUGGCCACCCGGGACCCCCAAGUGGCCACCCGGGACCCCCAAGUGGCCCGGGACCCCCAAGUGGCCACCCGGGACCCCCAAGUGGCCCGGGACCCCCAAGUGGCCACCGAGGGGGUCCAGGUGGCCACCGAGGGGUCGCAGGUGGCCACCGAGGGGUCGCGGGUUGGGGGCGGAAGAUUUCAGCAACCGGACGCGGCGUCGGGUGGAGGGGGGGAGGUGGAGGAGGUCGGGGGGCUAGCGGUGGCCCACGGGGGGCUACCGGGGGCCAACGGGCAAGUAGGGGGCAAGGGGGGGCAAGCGGGGGGCAACGGGGAGGGGGGGGGCAAUGAUGGCCGAUCGGGGGUCAAUAGUGGUCAAUCGGGGGUCAAUAGUGGUCAAUUGGUGGCCAAUAGUGGUCAAUCGGUGGCCAACGCUCAACUGAUGGCCAAUAGUGGCCCAAAAAUGGCCAAUAGUGGCCCAACGAUGGCCAAUAGUGGCCCAACGGUGGCCAACAGUGGCCCAACGAUGACCAAUAGUGGCCCAACGAUGACCAACAGUAGCCCAAUGAUAGUCAACAGUGGCCCAACGAUGACCAACAGUGGCCAACCGAUGGACAAUAGUGGUCAACUGAUGGCCAACAGUGGCCCAACGAUGGCCAACAAGGUCCAACUGAUGGCCAACGCCCAACCGAUGGACAAUAGUGGCCCAAAAAUGGCCAAUAGUGGCCCAACGAUGGCCAACAAGGUCCAAUUAAUGGCCGACACCCAACUGAUGGCCACUAGUAGCCCAACGAUGACCAACAGUGGCCCAACGAUGACCAACAGUAGCCUAACGGUGGUCAACAAGGUUCAAUUGGUGGCCAACGCUCAACCGAUGGCCAAUAGUGGCCCAAAAAUGGCCAAUAGUAGCCCAACGAUGGCCAACGCUCAACCGAUGGCCAACAGUAGCCCAACAAUGACCAACAGUAGCCCAAUGAUGGCCAACACUCAACCGAUGGCCAACAGUGGCCCCAAAAUGGCCAAUAGUGGCCCAACGGUG